Myotis davidii is the source of this 675-nucleotide long non-coding RNA. RefSeq lists it as uncharacterized. NCBI's taxonomy places the organism in Eukaryota, Metazoa, Chordata, Mammalia, Chiroptera, Vespertilionidae. The transcript has 3 exons. The record is from RefSeq and is a predicted model, not a curated record.
UCUGCAGGCCAACGCUCUACCGCUGAGCCAAACCGGUUAGGGCAAUUUAAUACUUUUUAAGUAAAGAAAAUUGCAGCUGGUGGGAAGGUCGGCCCUAAAGAAGAUUCUGGGAUGUGUAGUCCAGAUGCCUCCUGUGAUGGGUGCAUCUCCGCUCUUGGAAAGAGCAGACAUGUUCCUUAGGGAGGUUUAAUCAAGUGUUAUUUAUGUAUGGAGGCAUUUGGGUUGCCCGAGGGCAGGGAAUGAACCCAGCUUCUUUCCGGGAAUUUGAAUCAGGCCGCCCUAGCGCCCCCGGGGGCGGGGCAGCAGCUCCGGUUCCCCCAGUGAUGCUGGGAAAUGUAGUCCGUGAGCUCCGCGAAGUCGGAGGCACUUCCGCUGCAGAAGGCCGAGCUCGCGGCCUCGGUUUCUCCGGGAGGAGCAACCAAGAGGCAAGAUCUAGAAAACUGGCUCUGACGUGAGAUCUGGAUUCAGGGCCCACCGGCCUCUUGACCUCACUGCGCCCCAGCUUCCUUAUCUGUGAAAUGAGAACAGUGGUCGUCGUCACUGACUGAGAACUUCCUACAGUGCCAGCUGAGAAUAGGCACAGAGGGGUCCGCGCUUGGAGCCAGGUCACACCACUGGUGCAGCAGUAGGUUCUUCGCAGGUACCUUGAUGAAACAAUGCUUCCUGGAUGCUUCU